AAGCUUGCAGAUGAGUCAAGGGAGACGUGGCAUAACCUCUGGUCAUGAUCUGGAGGUGAACACCUGGCCAAACCACGGACUGAGGCGUGUCCACAACGAGCCGACCUCCUCAGCUUCGGCUGCCGAAACUGCAUGCAAAACCAUGCAACUUUCGGGGGCCGAACAUAACCUUCGGGGGCCGAACAUUGGGCACUUUCGGCGGCCGAACUUCACAUUCGGGGGCCGAACCUG
RNAcentral lists this long non-coding RNA (231 nucleotides) under Manihot esculenta (cassava). Its description in RNAcentral is "long non-coding RNA (MESC_LNC003156)". The record is from RNAcentral. Lineage: Eukaryota; Viridiplantae; Streptophyta; Magnoliopsida; Malpighiales; Euphorbiaceae.